This 495-nucleotide ribosomal RNA is filed under the name Triticum aestivum (bread wheat). RNAcentral's name for it is "partial small subunit ribosomal RNA". Lineage: Eukaryota; Viridiplantae; Streptophyta; Magnoliopsida; Poales; Poaceae. The record is from RNAcentral.
AUGAUGUUCUCCCGGUUUCUGAAAGCUGACAGGCACACAGUACAAGUGCUGCAUCCAUCAUGGUUUGUCCUCCUUGAGAAGAACCCUGAUCCUGACCUGUACUUCCAUGGCACCAAAAAAAAGGGACUGGAAUCAGCAAACAAAUUUUCUGACGAACCAACCAACCGCGGCGUGCUAUUUAUUGACAAAGAAAUCUCGCGUUCCAAACGGGGCCUUUACAGGUGUCGAAUUCACUAUUCCGAGGAUGCAAUGCACCUUUGUUGGGAUGCAUCUCUGUGUGCGACCUUCCUGAUGGUCCAGAUUCAUAUAGCAGUCCAGCUCGUCUGCUUUCUUCUUCCUCCCGCUCCUUGUUGUCUCCGCCGUCGUUUCUUCAGUGUUUUUCUUCUUUUUUUGAAAUGGUCAUAUCUUCAGCUAGCAGCGGUCAUUAAAACGCAGGUCCCUCACACCGGCCAUUUUGAACAGACGCCAACAUAUAAUCCCAUUAUGAGUUUAUGA